GAUGAACGCUAGCGGCAGGCUUAAUACAUGCAAGUCGAGGGGCAGCAGGGGUAGCAAUACCCGCUGGCGACCGGCAAACGGGUGCGGAACACGUACAGAACUUUCCUUUAAGCGGGGGAUAGCCCAUAGAAAUGUGGAUUAAUACCCCAUAGUAAUGCUGGUUGGCAUCAAACUGGUAUUUAAAGAUUUAUCACUUAGAGAUGGCUGUGCGUCUGAUUAGGUAGNGGUAGGGGUAACGGCCCACCAAGCCAUCGAUCCAGUAACUGGUNUGAGAGCACGACCAGUCACACGGGCACUGAGACACGGGCCCGACUCCUACGGGAGCAGCAGUAAGAAUAUUGGUCAAUGGACGCAAGUCUAGAACCAGCCAU
RNAcentral lists this ribosomal RNA (371 nucleotides) under uncultured bacterium. Its description in RNAcentral is "bacterial SSU rRNA". It matches the Rfam family "Bacterial small subunit ribosomal RNA", at positions 28 to 395 of the family's 1533-position model. The record is from RNAcentral.